This 2007-nucleotide long non-coding RNA is filed under the name Malus domestica (apple). Its description in RNAcentral is "long non-coding RNA (MDOM_LNC018438)". Lineage: Eukaryota; Viridiplantae; Streptophyta; Magnoliopsida; Rosales; Rosaceae. The record is from RNAcentral.
AAUCAAAUUGACUCAAAAAGAAACUAGAACUUGAUUUGGACGAAUUUGAAAGUGUUUAUGACUCCAAAUGCUUAAAAACACAAAAUAAAACAGAAUUGAAUGACUAAGACUCAACAAAAUAUGGGGGGAUUAUGUUUGGAUGAAUUUAAAUUAAAUGGGCAGAUUGUAAAGAAAACAAAUUGUAGACAAAAUUGUGAUGAAUUAAUGGAUGAUGGAAUAGCUAAGGGGUUCUCCUCCACACAUGAAAUAUAUGCAACGUAAAUCAAUUUCCAGUUAUCAAUUUAAUAAGUUAUGAACCUCGACACUCCAAGUUAAUUAGGUCCGCUUAAAUUAACCUUCAGAUUUCCCUAGAAUCAUUGAAUUGGAUGAAUAUGCAUGGCAAACAAAUUAUUCCUAACAAGUUCUUUAUAUGAACAGCAUGAUAAAGACACAAGUUAGAAUCAUUAUGUUCUUUGGAAAUAAUAAACAUCGACAAGGCAUUUGUAACUAUGAAAAGCAUGAUACUCUUGCCAGGAAUCUACUUAACAUGAUCGUGACUAGCGACCUUCACUACUUGCGAAUAUAAAUUCAUAACGAUUAGGUGAAACAAACUUAUAUCCUAGCACCAAAUUCAAGCAUGCAAAUUAAGCGUGCACUCUCAAUCAACAUACAAGAAUAAGUUCUAAAUCAAACGGUUAAGUAAAUUGUAUUCACGACUUAUGCAACGAUAACUGGAAGUAAUCAACUUAUUUCACAUAUAUAAUCAUGGUUUUUGAUAAGAGCAUAUUUAUGCGCCUUAGUUAGCUAGUUCUUAUGCAUUUAUGUUGUGUUUUCUUAGUUAAGUUAGUCUUUUAAGCUAUUUUCAUGUGUUUCAGGUUUUAAGGAUAAAGUAAGCAAAAAGAUGCAAAUUGGAGCAUUUUGGAGCAAAAUUGAGCUAGAAUGGAGCUCAUGCAUGUGGAGCACAAAGAAUGGACGAAUUUGAAGGAUUGAAGAAGCUAGGAAUGCGUUUCAAAGUUGAAGAAUUGAAGAUGCAAAGUUUCCUAAUUGAAGUAGGAAAGUGCUUAAUUGAAGAUGAAAUCCUAGUCAACAAAGGAUUCCUAGUUGAAGAAUGAUUCCUAAGUGAAGUUGGAUUUCUAGAAGAUUGAAGUUUCCUACUCAAACAAGGUUUCCUACUUGAAGAAGGGAGGUUAAAGCCAAAGAAUCAGCUCAAGUGAAGAAACCUUAUCCAAAACAUUAUCCAUAACCUUAUCCUAUCCUAUCUUAUCCUAAUCCUCAUUUACCUAUAAUUCAGCUACAAAAGGGAUUUCUUUUCCUAUUUGGAGACUUAAAACCUGAUUUCUAGAAGGCCUUAUCCCUUGUCCUACAAAAGUGACGCCCCAAAUCUUUCUAGAACUUCUAGAAACCUGAUUAUUCCUUUCCCCCUUGGUUUCUAAAAGCCUUAGCCUUUUCCUUCAAGGAUUGAUCACUCAUAUAUUUCAUGCAUUUAUACCAUCCAUUUCUAAAGUUUUUGUGAUGUUUUUAUGUUAAAAUUGUAGCAAUUUACCUUACCUUGUGUUAAUGUACAGUUAAAUUUGUUUUAGGAUUAAUUUCAAACAAAAUGGACUGACAAAGAAAAUAAAAGACAAGAGAGAAGAAAUAAUGGAUUGAUGCAUGAAUAAUUAAAGGAAAAGAAGAAUAAUAAAAAGGGAGAGAGAAGUGCUGGACGACAAGAAUAACAGAAAAGAAAUAAUAAGAAAGAGCAGUGGAGGGCAAGCUGGCAGAAACAAAACAAAAGAAAAUAAAAGGCAGAGAAAAUGGAAGGCAAAAGACGUAAAAGAAAUAAAAUAAGAGAAUAGUGGGAAGGAAGUGGGUACACACUGACAAAGAAAAUAAAAGAAGAAGAGACUGACAGCAAGCGGAAGAAAAAGGGCAGAGAGAGAGGCAGAGACACGGGAAGCUGCCCAAGGCAGCGCAGAAAAGGAGGGCACAGGGCAGUGUGCGGAAAAAUAGAAAAAGGCAGAACAGAAGAAGGGCAGAGUGGGAAGAGGG